CCUACGGGGUGCAGCAGUGAGGAAUAUUGGUCAAUGGGCGUAAGCCUGAACCAGCCAAGUCGCGUGAGGGAUGAAGGUUCUAUGGAUCGUAAACCUCUUUUAUAAGGGAAUAAAGUGUGGGACGUGUCCUGUUUUGUAUGUACCUUAUGAAUAAGGAUCGGCUAACUCCGUGCCAGCAGCCGCGGUAAUACGGAGGAUCAGAGCGUUAUCCGGAUUUAUUGGGUUUAAAGGGUGCGUAGGCGGCCUUUUAAGGCAGCGGUGAAAGUCUGUGGCUCAACCAUAGAAUUGCAGUUGAAACUGGGAGGCUUGAGUAUGUUUGAGGCAGGCGGAAUGCGUGGUGUAGCGGUGAAAUGCUUAGAUAUCACGCAGAACCCCGAUUGCGAAGGCAGCCUGCCAAGCCAUGACUGACGCUGAUGCACGAAAGCGUGGGGAUCAAACAGGAUUAGAUACCCCUGUAGUC
Molecule: ribosomal RNA, 460 nt
Filed under: uncultured bacterium
Lineage: Bacteria
Description: partial 16S ribosomal RNA
Rfam family: Bacterial small subunit ribosomal RNA
Source: RNAcentral